CCGCGGUCAUCACUGCUGACACCCGCGCAUGUGCACAGAAACCCGCGACGAACAUGCUCGCGUACAUCGUCGUUUUCCCAAAGCUCGACUUACCGAAGCAUCCGCGUGUCGCGAAGCGACUGUGCCGGAAACUCAUCGUUUCCAACACGGAAGCUCGGCUGGUAGGGUACUAGUGGUACAGCAGACGGUUUAGGACACCCAACAUGCGCUGACACAUUAUCCGGCCGCCAUGCACGCGUGUCGCUCGUUCUUAUGCCUGUCUCCUGCAGUCCUCCGUUUCUGCCCGACUGGUUGCGACCUCACCCCUUUCGCCUGCACCGAACGUGAGCACCGUCUCGAAUUUUUUUGGGGUCCAUCCCCCCUUCCUCCUUCUCGUAAGAGCCACCAAAUUGACUUCCUUUCACGGACGCUCAGACAGGCAGAGAUACAGGGAGAGAGGGAGGGGGAGCCCACACAUUCGGCUUGCGUUUUCGAUGCGGUGUCGCGUUGACGCGUCAUCGUUGCGACCGGCUUUCCUUUUCCUUCAUCUCCGUCUGCGUCCCUCGUGGUCUUUGGUGAGGUCACUCACCAACGUUUGUGCGCCCGCUUUCGCUUGUUGUUCUUUGUUCGAUUCCUUCGAUCGGUUCCUUUUUUUCGUUGUGCGUUUCUGAACCCCUUCCUGCUCUCUCCUGCUCCCACUUCCGCAGUGAUGCGCUUGACUUGUGCAUGCUUGCUGCUAUGCUUUCCUCAACUGGCUUCCCCUCCUCCGCCUCUUCCGCGGACACAGGUGGGAGUGGGGGGGGGUGCUUCCGUCCUCCCAUCUUGGAGUCGCCUCCAGGAUGCGCAUGGGGCUCGUCCGAGGGGUGCGGGAGGCACCACGACAGAAGCAGCAACGGCGGUAACCCCGGCAGACAUUCGGGGAGGGGGCCGAGAGUGUAUACCCCUGCCCAGCUCCACUUGUGGCUUCUCCAGGCUAUCG
Molecule: unclassified non-coding RNA, 958 nt
Filed under: Leishmania donovani
Lineage: Eukaryota; Euglenozoa; Kinetoplastea; Trypanosomatida; Trypanosomatidae
Description: gene:unknown
Source: RNAcentral